RNAcentral lists this transfer RNA (73 nucleotides) under Ixodes scapularis (black-legged tick). It matches the Rfam family "tRNA". Rfam says of the family: Transfer RNA (tRNA) molecules are approximately 80 nucleotides in length. Lineage: Eukaryota; Metazoa; Arthropoda; Arachnida; Ixodida; Ixodidae. The record is from Rfam by way of RNAcentral.
CCUUGGUUAGCUCAGUUGGUAGAGCGCUCCACCUGUAAUGGAGAGGUCCCGGGUUCGAUAUAUGGACCAGGCG